Molecule: ribosomal RNA, 629 nt
Filed under: Sphingomonas sp. Air139
Lineage: Bacteria; Pseudomonadati; Pseudomonadota; Alphaproteobacteria; Sphingomonadales; Sphingomonadaceae
Description: bacterial SSU rRNA
Rfam family: Bacterial small subunit ribosomal RNA
Source: RNAcentral
CUUAGUGGCGCACGGGUGCGUAACGCGUGGGAAUCUGCCCUUGGGUUCGGAAUAACAGUUAGAAAUGACUGCUAAUACCGGAUAAUGUCUUCGGACCAAAGAUUUAUUGCCCAAGGAUGAGCCCGCGUCGGAUUAGCUAGUUGGUGAGGUAAAGGCUCACCAAGGCGACGAUCCGUAGCUGGUCUGAGAGGAUGAUCAGCCACACUGGGACUGAGACACGGCCCAGACUCCUACGGGAGGCAGCAGUGGGGAAUAUUGGACAAUGGGCGAAAGCCUGAUCCAGCAAUGCCGCGUGAGUGAUGAAGGCCUUAGGGUUGUAAAGCUCUUUUACCCGGGAUGAUAAUGACAGUACCGGGAGAAUAAGCCCCGGCUAACUCCGUGCCAGCAGCCGCGGUAAUACGGAGGGGGCUAGCGUUGUUCGGAAUUACUGGGCGUAAAGCGCACGUAGGCGGCUUUGUAAGUUAGAGGUGAAAGCCCAGAGCUCAACUCUGGAACUGCCUUUAAGACUGCAUCGCUUGAAUCAUGGAGAGGUUAGUGGAAUUCCGAGUGUAGAGGUGAAAUUCGUAGAUAUUCGGAAGAACACCAGUGGCGAAGGCGACUAACUGGACAUGUAUUGACGCUGAGGUGCG